Molecule: ribosomal RNA, 1389 nt
Filed under: Triticum aestivum (bread wheat)
Lineage: Eukaryota; Viridiplantae; Streptophyta; Magnoliopsida; Poales; Poaceae
Description: partial small subunit ribosomal RNA
Source: RNAcentral
AUGCCCGGAGAUCUUAGCCAGUGGAUAAUGAAGCAUUACGACCCUGAGAUUUCGCAGAUAGUCAUUCCAGAAAGGGGGAAGAUUCCUGUAGAUGCCGCAAGUGUCCGUAGGAUAUGCGGUUUGCCAAACAGGGGCAAGAAGGUGUGCUUCGAGAAUCGGCCUGAAAUCACAAAGGCAAUGUACAGUAUUUACAACAUCACAUCCAAGAACUCCCCAACCCUCACAGAAUGGUGCAAGAUGAUCAUAGACAUGGGAGGAUCUCAUGAUGAUGACUUUGUCCGCGCUUGGCUAGCUCUUGUUUUUUCGUGCUUCCUUGCCCCUUCAACUAGUUUGAGUAUUUCCCCAAAGAGCUUCCCGGCGGUCAUGGAUGUCAAUGGAAUAACGGAAACCAAUAUAUGCCAGUUUGUUGUUGAUCAACUAAAGCUUGCGUUCACUUCGGGGCGUGCCAACAAGAAGGAUGUUUGUUGUUGUGUUUUCCACCUUGUUCUGUUGUACCUAGACUCUCUGGAUGUUGAUGAGCCAAUCCCGAACUUGGUACCAAGGGUUUCAGUUUGGAAUUCAGAUUUAAUUUCCAAAGUUAUCAAGAAGGACAGGAAGGCUCCAAGAGAAUACGGCAAAUUGCGGCUCAAGAUGGAGUUUUUCCGGUGUGCGGAUGAUAGCUUGUUUGGCAGUAUGGACCACAUCACCAAAUUUGUUGCCACAAGAUUGCCCGAGUUGUAUGACAAAACACAAAAGAAGCUCACAGGGUUGGUGCACGAAAUGUGUUCCGUAAUUUCACAUGCAGUGGGGAAGCUCGUGACUGGGGUUGGGAAGAUAGAUGAUGAUGAAUGGGGGACAAAGGAGGCAGAUCCUACUACUGUGGAGACAAGCAGGCGGCAGUCUAAUAGAAGGGGCAAGCGAGUACCAACCGGAAGAGACAGCUUAGCAAGUGAGGAGGAAUCGUUUAAUUCCGACAGCGACGACAGCGAGGCAGCCGAUAGUGAAAGCGAGGGAGAUGGCAGGGAUAAAGGUAGUGAUGAAAGCGAUAGCGAUGGCAGUGCAGACAACGAUGAUGGUAAUGAUGGAUCAAGUGGAGUUCAGGGGAUAUCAAGUAGCCAGGGAGCACGACAAAUGGUGGAUCACCACGAGGGGGCAAGUGCUGACAUGGGGAGGGAAGACGGAACUGAGAGGAAUGAGGACAAUGAAGAUGAUGAUGAAGAAGAGGAUGACGAAAAAAAGAAGAGGAUGAAGGAAAGGAGGACGAUGACGAUGAAGAAGGCGAUGGGAAUGAUAAAGACAAGGAAGAUGAUGGGCAGGGGAAGCAGGAUGAAGAUGAUGAAGAUGACAGUGGAGGUGGCAACGGUGGUUCAGGCAGCAAUGGUGGCUCCGGUCGGGAUGAGGAUCCCGUAG